AGACACCCAUUUUUGCUUUGAAUUAGAUGGAGAAGAUCCUCGCAGCGUACCGAAAAGCUUCAAGGCAGUGGUGCGCCACUACGAACAAGCUAGCUCAAGGUACGAUACCUGGUCAUGGCCCUUCUGCAAAGUAUGAUGUCCAUUUGAUGUCUUGUGUUAACCUAACCCCUUGGCUUGUUUCUGUUCUUCGCAUGGAUUUUUUUCAGUCAGGCAACGGGGCAGAAAGCGAACAAUGGUCGGGUAAAACUUGACCCGGAGUUACUGAAUGCUACAAAUUUGAACCUGCAACACCAUCCAUUGUGUUAGUUUGCACUCAUAGCGACUCAGCGGAAUUGGCUCUUGUAGAAUUGAAAUGGACGUCAAGUGAAUCAUUUGUAAAAGUACUUGUUGUACUUCCGUUANCUUGUUGUACUUCCGUUAGGAAUCAUAUACUGUAUCUCCUAACUCUUUAACUCUACUUUGUUGGAUGGUCGUUUUGUAUUGAGAGAGGCAUGCGGUGAAAUGUGAAUCGAAGCAAUUUAUUAAAAUUAUUACAACUAGCGUGUUCUCUGCAUUAGCAUAAGUUUAAACGAAACUCAGAACUCUGUACUGCCAGAUCACUAUGCGCCAAGCUAUGACCGCAUCACGUUUACGCAAGAGAAAAAAAUCAGCAUCACUUCAAAUAUCUUUUAG
Molecule: long non-coding RNA, 672 nt
Filed under: Hordeum vulgare
Lineage: Eukaryota; Viridiplantae; Streptophyta; Magnoliopsida; Poales; Poaceae
Description: long non-coding RNA (HVUL_LNC009119)
Source: RNAcentral